This is a long non-coding RNA of Procambarus clarkii (red swamp crayfish), 520 nucleotides long. RefSeq lists it as uncharacterized. The record is from RefSeq and is a predicted model, not a curated record. NCBI's taxonomy places the organism in Eukaryota, Metazoa, Arthropoda, Malacostraca, Decapoda, Cambaridae.
GAAACAUAAACUGCGGGACAGCGUUUAAUUGGUUAUUGCAUGAGCUUGUGACGUCAGAAGAGAUGUGGUGCCUGGAGACGGUCGACCUGGUCAGUGGUCGGCGGGAAGGCGCCGGAGAAGGACGUGGUCGUCACCUCUACGCUGGAGAAUACUUUAUCUUCACUGAAGUUAAGCUUGGCGACGUUCUACAUUAUUCCGGUUGUGGAAGGUCCCUACAACAGUCUGGUCAGAAGGAACUUCUUUUACUGAAAGAUUAUGAAUUGCUUGGAAAGUGACUCCUUCCUUCAGUUGGGUGUUAAUGACUUCAAAUACAGAAUCAGGUGGCAAUGAAGGUUACAAGAACACGGCAGUGAAGAUGUUCUACACUGCAAAUCUACUGGAUGUUGGUGCUUCUCCUUGGUACUGGACUUUACUCCCACUGGAUUCUUCAGUGCUGGCAUUGAGCAUCACAACCUGAAAGAUUAAAUUAAAUAUUGGAAGAUGUAUACACCUAAUACUUUAAUAAAUCUAUUAAUGAAAG